UUUUUUUUAUUAUUUUUUUAGGAUGUAUUAUUUUUAUUAUAAAGUUAUUCAUUUUAGAAAAGGAUAAUUUAAAAAAAAGAAAAAGAUAAUUUCUGAUGAAGUAUCAGUAUGUCAAACUGAUUUUCAUGGGAAGUUGAUUAAACUGCCAAUGUUACGCUUUGUAUAUAGCAUGAUGAUUAAUACUAAAUAAAAGGUUACAGACAUACUUUAGUGAAAAGUAGUAACCAGAAAAGAAAAAGGCUGGGAGAAUUGACUUCUGGUCUGAUUAAAUAGUAAACAUUAACAGUGAAUUCAUGUUUGGGGUUUUUUUUUAAUGAAUAUUUUCAAGUUUAUUAAGUACCAAUGAUCAUUUUCUUUAUGAUAUAAUAGCUAUUUGUAAAAAAUAUAGUAGAAAAAAAUGAAUAUUCAUAAGAUUAGUGAUUUCUCUGAAUUUUUUCAGUGUGUAGAUAAUCUACAUAUUUUAAUAUUUAGUAUAUGCUGUGCAUUUGAAAAGUAUUUUCAAAUUCUCAAAUAAUUUUAUGAUGUAAAAAAGAUUAUAAUUACCACAUGGCUUAGCAGAAAGACAUCAUCAGGGUUUAGACCCAGACCAUAACUUAAAUCUUGACUCUGUUAAAUGCUGACAAUGUAACCUUGUUAAAUUAGUUAAUAUUAGAUUCCAAUUUCAUCUAUAAAAUAUGUGUAAUAUUUGUCUUGAAGUACUGUUGUGAGGAUUUGAAAUUUUAUGUAAGUUAGGUGCCUGUCCAGUCCCCAGCCAGCAAUGUUCAGGCAUUCUAUAGGUAUUGUUGCAAUAAUUCUCAUCUACAUAAUCAUGACAGUCAGGGCUUUUAUGGAAUUUACCUGGAAAGGCCCUGUUCUAAGCCUUUUACAUGGACCAUCUCAUUCAAUCCUCUCAAUAACUCCAUAUGGUAAUACUAUGAAUCUCGAUUUUACAGAUGAGGAACUAAGGCACACACCAGAAAAGUAACUAGCAGAAGGGCUCACAGUCUGGCUCUAGAGUUUGUGCUCUUCAUCCUUAAGCUUUGCUGCCACAAACCUAUUCAGUAUGUCUUUUCAUAGUUAUAUAUGCAUUGUACGGAUGCUUUACAUGAUUUACUGAUACUGGUAUAUCUUUUGAAUAGGCUUUAAUUUGAGGAUUUUGAAUUCAUUUUUGUAUUGUAAUAAUUAAUUCCACAAUUUUUUGAUAUAUUUGAAAACACUCUGCAGACAAAUAAUUUGAUAGGUGGCCAUUUUUGUCUAAGUGGUCUGAUGAUUAGUCAACCUAUUAGUGCAUAAAAUACUGCUAAAUAAUCAUCCCAGUUUAACCACAUUUACAAAAUGAAUACUUGUACAAUGCAUAACUCAUUCCUGCAUAAAAAUAAAUUGCCAUAUACUUUGUCAAAGAUAUUUAUGGAAGAGUAUGCUAAGAAGAAUGAUAAAAACAUGACCAUCAGUCUUCCUCACAUUAAAAGGAUUUACAUCUUAUCAUAGUAUAUUAUACAUUCAAAUCAAUAAGCAUUCAUGUUGUAGUUUUUAUAAAUUGUAAUAAAACUGAAAUACAAGAAUCACAUGAAUAUGCAUACAAUAUUUUUAAAAAAAACAGUAAUCACAAAACCUUUGUCGUACUUUCAUAAAAUAUGUUAAGCAUUUCUUUCAGAAAUGGAAAAGUGAUGUAUUUGUAGAUAAUGGGAAGAAGAAAGCCCAAGGUCAGUGCUCCCUAUCAGCAGCACUGCUGAUGGGAAAGAAAAUGACCAACAUCUUUAAUCUAGAGUUGAGUAAGAUCCUCCUCUAUACGUAUCACUUAAAUGAGAAAAUGCUCAUAUCUUUUCAUUCUUUUAAAAAUAGAAUCAUAAGGCUCUUAGAGUUUCCUGCCUCUUAUAGACCUAUUCCAAAAAAAAAUUCUAGAAGAAUAAUGGACUAUUAUGUGUGAUUUAUUCUGUUCUUGCUAAAAAUGGGAAACAAA
Molecule: long non-coding RNA, 1939 nt
Filed under: Canis lupus familiaris (dog)
Lineage: Eukaryota; Metazoa; Chordata; Mammalia; Carnivora; Canidae
Description: lncRNA (ENSCAFG00000050549.1)
Source: RNAcentral